Molecule: long non-coding RNA, 4927 nt
Organism: Antechinus flavipes (yellow-footed antechinus)
Lineage: Eukaryota; Metazoa; Chordata; Mammalia; Dasyuromorphia; Dasyuridae
Exons: 2
Source: RefSeq, a predicted model, not a curated record
CAAUAAAAGCUUGUGUUUUAAAAGCACAAAGUUAUUGGGUUACUAAAAAUUAAUAAACUCCAUCCCAUCAACAAGUAAAUUUGAAACCAUUUCUUUUUUUUUUUUUAAAUAACUUUUUAUUGACAGAACCCAUGCUAGGGUAACUUUUUACAGCAUUAUUCCUUGCACUCACUUCUGUUCCGAUUUUCCCCCUCCCUUCCUCUACCCCCUCCCCCAGAUGGCAAGCAGUCCUUUACAUGUUGAAUAGGUUACAGUAGAUCCUAGAUACAAUAUAUGUGUGUAGAACCGAACAGUUUUCUUGUUGUACAGGGAGAAUUGGAUUCAGAAGGUAUAAAUAACAAGGAAGAAAAACAAAAAUGCAAGCAGUUUAUAUUCAUUUCCCAGUGUUCUUUCUUUGGGUGCAGCUGCUUCUGUCCAUCCUUGAUCAAUUGAAACUGAAUUAGCUCUCUUUAACAAAGAGAUCCACUUCCAUCAGAAUACAUCCUCAAACAAUAUCGUUGUCGAAGUGUAUAAUGAUCUCCUGGUUCUGCUCAUUUCACUUAGCAUCAGUUCAUGUAAGUCUCUCCAAGCCUCUCUGUAUUCAUCCUGCUGGUCAUUCCUUACAGAACAAUAAUAUUCCAUAACGUUCAUAUACCACAAUUUACUCAACCGUUCUCCAAUUGACGGGCAUCCAUUCAUUUUCCACCUUCUAGCCCCUACAAACAGGGCUGCCACAAACAUUUUGGCACAUAUAGGUCCCUUUACCUUCUUUAGUAUCUCUUUGGGGUAUAAGCCCAGUGGAAACACUGCUGGAUCAAAGGGUAUGCACAGUUUGAUAACUUUUUGAGCAUAGUUCCAAAUUGCUCUCCAGAAUGGCUGAAUUUGAAACCAUUUCAAACCAAUUUAGAGCGUCUCCUAAAAACAGAAUUGCUGCUAUUAUGAAUAUUUGGUAGAAAAUAAAAUGUUGCUGAAACAAAACAUCUAGAUGUUCAGAUAUUUUUUUUAAACCAAUGUGUAGUGUGGGUAUAAUGCUGGAUCUGAAGUCAGAACCCACAUUUGAAUCUUGAUGCUACUAUUUUUAUUAAGAGUGAGUUAAUUAUAUCAAUUACCUGUCCUUCAAGUCCCACAUGUGCAAAUGAACUAUAUAAUGUUUAAGGUCCCUUUCAGUUCUAAGUCUAUAAUCUAUAGGACUUCCUCAUUAAGCAAUAGAAAUUCUCGAUGUGUACAUCUGUGGUCAUGAAAAUGUUUAAUUUUUGAUAUAGGAAUGUGAAGGCUAGCUUCUCUACUUUACAAGGUUUUGUAACAUAUCUUAUAGAUUUAGAAUUGAAGGGAAUUUAGAAAUUAUCUACUUGAGGCUUUAUCAACAUCAUCUCUCCCCUCCCCCCAAGCCUCAGGUUACAGAUGCAUUUCGUCCAGAGUUGAAAUGAAUUGUCCCACAGCCAUACAAUAUGUGACAGAGACAGGAUUUUAACACAUAUUCUGUAACCUUUCCAAUAACCACGAUGUCUUCUACCAUGUUCUGGCAAAUGUUGCUAAAAGGAUAUACAGUUCCUGAAUAUAAAGUUAAAUUAGAAAGCUUAGCAGCAUGAUAAUUAUUAAUUAAUUCUGGUCAAGUUUUAAAAUUCCUAAUGUUAUACAUGGACUUUUUGGGGGGAGGGGAAGGGAAUCACAUUUUAAAAAAAAGUUCUCAAGUUUAAUUUCACUACUGCGUUCAAAAAUGUUCCUUUUGCGGCGCUACGUUGGAAGAAGACGAGGACUUUAAAAUACUGUCUUUUAAACUUGGAUUACUUAGUGGUAGCAGCAGCCAGUGGUUGAGGUGGGGCAACCGAAACCCAUCUUUUUCCAGCAUAUGUCGCCGCAUCCACAUUGAAUCAGCCUGCUCCAGUCUAGGUUUCUGAAAACUGGAAUUGCAGAUCCCUGGUGUGUCUGAAUGAAAACAAAACAAUGGAAAGGGGGAAAGGAUUGGAAAAGGGAGAGAGAAUAAAAAGCUGGGGGAGCUAGUUGAUCGGGAGAGGUUAAGGACAAGGAAAAAAAAUUAAAUUUGAUCAGAACCACGCCUCCCUCAGAGCACCAGAGCGUGCUUACUGGAGCCACGUUUGGAGGAUCCAAAGGAAUUCUGCUCUAAACGUCGCUGAGUUUUUAACUGGAAAGAAAAUACUUUGAGCAUUUCUUUCACUCGGGAGCCGGGUUUCUCGCCUCUCCCCCUCCCUGUCCUGUCCUAACGUUCCGAAAGCCAGAAAUGUACAAGUGUAAACUGAAAUAUUAGUUCUGGUCUAGUGUGGGUCAGAAAUUUAUGGAUAAAUGAGGGAACCCGGGGGGGGGGUAUAGGAGGAGAAAACGACAGCUUCGGGGGAACAAAGAAAAGUUAGUCCAAACCCUACUACUGCGUGUGUGGUUUUUGCAUUUUCUCCCUUCGGGUGGGUAUGUGGGAGUCUCCUUGGAGCUUGUGGGAGCCUGUCCCAAGCCUGCUCGCUUCUAUACAAACAUCUGUGAAAUGCUACGGCUAGGGCCGCGGGCUGGAGGGCAGGUAGGAAGGGCAUCGGGAGUCUAGAUGUCAGGCGACCCGCUGCCCACUACUAGCGGGGGAGGCAGCUUCGGCCCUGAGACUGAGGAGAAGAGAGGGGAAGGGGGGCUGUGGGAGCCCCGAAACCAGGGAGCUGAGGAUUGUGGGCCCAGGGGCUAGCCCUGCUUCUAGACCGCCUGAGGGAAAAGAAAAGAGGGGAGGGGGUGGGGAGAAGAGGCGGGACGAAGAAAAAAGGAGCAAACGGGCGGGAGGGAGGGAAGUGAAGAGGGGAGGGGAGGGAAGAAGCGGGAGAGGCCACGUCACGGCUAUUGUGUCUUUCCCCCCCUCGCUUAUAAAGCCCGAUGCGCUCAGUUCCUCAGCGCGCCUGGGUCUGGAAUCAGACACUGCUUUAAUACUUGGAGCGCGCUCACCAAGCGGAGCUGUUCGUAUAGUAUUGCAUCUCAUUGGGAGGGCCCAGAUCGACAGACAGAGCGGCCAUGCGGACAGCGAUAGCGGCAAAACUAUGUCUGGGGCUCCUGCUCCUGGCACUGCUGUUACCCGUACAGAUUUAUUCUCAAAAUGCAACCACAGUACCAAGUAUAACCAACACUUCAAUGAGCACUGCCAUUCUGACAACAACUAGACAGACACCAAACAAGACUACUUCUACUUCUUCUACUACUACUACUAUUGCUACUACUAGUACUACUACUGCUACUACAGGAAGUGGAAAUUCCCUGCAGUCAACUGCCAGCCUCUUCAUCAUCUCUCUCUCUGUUCUACAUCUCUACUGCUAAGAGACUCAGUCAAGCCAACAGCAAUGCUUCCCUAACCCAUCUUCCUGAACCAUCUGAGAUGACUACAUCUACUAGUCAGUGUGGCAAAGAAGGAAACAAAAUCUACAGUCAAUGUCUUGGCCCCCCACCCACUCUAAUUUCACACCUUUAAAUUUAUUGACAUAUUGGUUCCAGAGAAAGUCUCAAGCUAAUUUCCCAUCUGUUGAAUACAUAAUUUGAGAAGGAUCUACCUGUAUGAUUUCAUGGGACUAACUGAUGUUGGACUUUUUAGUUCAGUGUUUAAACCAGUUGGAACUUCGAAGAGCGAGACUGAAAACAGAUGUCAUCCACUUAAUUCAAGAUUUAAAAUUCAAUAAAUAUGAACAACUAGAACUCUCUCUACUUUGGGAACAAAAGGGUAGAUUUUUGUCUUGAUCCAGAAAAGGGAAAAGGGUAAAGGGUGUGGAAAAGAGACUUGGUUUUCACUUUGGUUCAUUAGCCAUAAAAUGAUUAGAUGGUAUAAACAACUUCCAUGUUUCUAUUUAUAUGAAUGAUGGAAGAGGCAUCAUCAAUCUUUGGUAGUAAAUUCUCCAUGUGUUUCAGCAGUACUAAUUUAAUGCCUAUAUACUCUAGAUAAGUUUUAAAACAUUGAAGUAUCACUAUUCUCAUAAAAAAUAAAUUAUUUACUCUGGGGCUUUGGAUUUGACAUAGCAUUUAAAUUGCUAUAUCACAAAUGACAUGUGCCAGAGCAGUGAUGGAUUGGAACCUUUCCACAAUGAAAACAAAAUGAGUAAAAUUGGCUUUCAUAAUAUUCUGUAGAAAACUAGACAUUCCCAUUACUUCCUCAUCUAACAAAAUGUUAGAUUUCAUUAGUUAUCUUGCUUUCCUUAAUUCCAAAGACUUUUGAAGUACACGACCUCUUGAAUAACUUUCAAAUGUUUUAUUUCUACAUAUGUCAAAUAGCUAACAGUUUUGAAAAUGAUCUGUUGUGAAGGUUGAUUAUUUUAAAAUCUCUAAGAGGCAAGCGUGUAAAAGCCAAACAACAAGAAAAAUUGAGUAUUUGGAAUGUAAGGACUAGGAGCUUAAUUGCAUCAUUAUAAGUUCACAAGAUCUUUUAUACUAUUUCUGUAAAUACUUUUUUUUAAAAAGAAAUUUUGUGAAUCAAAGUAGCUUACAACUGAGACUUGUCAUUCAAUAUUUUUAGAUAUAGAAUAUGAUAUUAAGCCUAAAGUUGGCCUCAUUCAGGGAAGCAAAUAUUUCUCCUUUCCUGCUUUAAAAAAAAAAACCACACACACAAAACUACUGUAAUGUUGAAAACUUCUAAAGAAAUCCUUUUUUUUUUUUGGUUCACAUGGUCACACACUGUUGCUUAGAUUUGAGGUAUCCAAUAUGACUGUAUUAUCCUAACUUCAUAAAAAACAAAGUUUGCUGUCCUUAAUAGUCAACCCAGAAACCUCCUCAUUCAAAAAGUGUCACAAGCUACUGUGUGUGUGAAUGAACACUCCUUUAUGCUCUAUUUUGUAUGCUGUACUAUGUUUGGGGUUCUUGUAUAAUGUGUUUGUGUCCUUAUGCUUUGAUUCAUAGUAACUACUCUAAUGUUAUGGAAUUGAUUUGCAUUGAACACAAACUGUAAAUAAAAAGAAAUAAACCCGAAUUGAAAACUUAUGUA